UGGGGAAUUUUGGACAAUGGGGGAAACCCUGAUCCAGCCAUCCCGCGUGUGCGAUGAAGGCCUUCGGGUUGUAAAGCACUUUUGGCAGGAAAGAAACGUCAUGGGUUAAUACCCCGUGAAACUGACGGUACCUGCAGAAUAAGCACCGGCUAACUACGUGCCAGCAGCCGCGGUAAUACGUAGGGUGCAAGCGUUAAUCGGAAUUACUGGGCGUAAAGCGUGCGCAGGCGGUUCGGAAAGAAAGAUGUGAAAUCCCAGAGCUCAACUUUGGAACUGCAUUUUUAACUACCGGGCUAGAGUGUGUCAGAGGGCGGUGGAAUUCCGCGUGUAGCAGUGAAAUGCGUAGCUAUGCGGAGGAACACCGAUGGCGAAGGCAGCCUCCUGGGAUAACACUGACGCUCAUGCACGAAAGCGUGGGGAGCAAACAGG
Molecule: ribosomal RNA, 429 nt
Filed under: Acidobacteriota bacterium
Lineage: Bacteria; Pseudomonadati; Acidobacteriota
Description: Acidobacteria bacterium partial 16S ribosomal RNA
Rfam family: Bacterial small subunit ribosomal RNA
Source: RNAcentral